UAGGGCUUCACACGUCAUACAAUGGUCGGUACAGAGGGUUGCCAAGCCGCGAGGUGGAGCCAAUCCCACAAAGCCGAUCGUAGUCCGGAUCGCAGUCUGCAACUCGACUGCGUGAAGUCGGAAUCGCUAGUAAUCGUGGAUCAGCAUGUCACGGUGAAUACGUUCCCGGGUCUU
Molecule: ribosomal RNA, 174 nt
Filed under: uncultured Rhodocyclaceae bacterium
Lineage: Bacteria; Pseudomonadati; Pseudomonadota; Betaproteobacteria; Rhodocyclales; Rhodocyclaceae
Description: partial 16S ribosomal RNA
Rfam family: Bacterial small subunit ribosomal RNA
Source: RNAcentral